GGUUAGACAGUGAUCACAGGUUCGGAAGCACGAGCCUCACCACAGCGGAGGAGGCCUCCACUCUGAAGCGGGAUUCCACGCUCCUGCACCCUAAGAUCAGCUAGACUCUCUGCCUUGUUUCAUCUUCUUUCUUUUCCUAAAGAAUCACGGGGAGAACUGACCUCUCUGGGACUCAACCGUGGCUGGAAGGGGACAGGAGAAGCCCUUUCUGGAGGACAGCUGAGCCCUGCAGCUGCCAUCCUGCCUGGCAGGCUAGGGCUGGGCUGCGGGAAGGCCCCCCAGGAGGGAGGUCCGGCCACUGCACCCCGAGGAAAGGGCUGCUUUCGGCACUCUGCGUGGAGGUCCUGGCUUCUGCCGUCCCUGGAGGCUCCGUUCCCGUUUCGCCAGCUAUUUUGCUGCCUCGGCCAUCUGUUCCCUCCCUGUCAUCUCCUCUCUGCUUUAACCUUAACCACUACUUCACUGCAGAUGGUACCAGGCAGUUCUGCUCUCGACAUCCUUCACGACGCCUGGCCCUCCUUCUCAUCUCCAGCAAGUGAACCGCUCUGUCCUUUUUAAAGCCUCAUCCCAAAGACACGGCCAGAGCUUGGAGUUGGAUUCGCCCCACACAACUCCCCCUCUUUGAUGCCAUCUGCUUUCAACUCCACCACUGGCCAGGGGCAAACACCUACCCCUUCCCCUGCCUUUUCCUCCUGAGACUUCUUCUCAAACUCGGCCAAGAAGCUCUCCUGGCAUGGACAGCGUGUCUGCUCCGGGUCUCUACCUGGUCUCCAUCAACAGAGCCAUGUAACCGCCCAGAGGGCUCCAGGUCCGCAAGCUGAGGCGGAGGCCAGAAACUCUGAAGUUCACUCCUACUGUGGAGGAACGAGGGCUCGUGCUGGGAGUUUGGGUCAUGAACAGUUUCCCUGUAGAAAAUGGACCUGAACACUCUGCAGUAAGGAAUUGUUUCCCAUGCUGGCAUGGUGGGAACCGAACCAAAACACAUUUUCUAUGUUGUCUGAGCUCACAGGGAACAUCCCUCUGCUGUCCUUGCUGUUAUUCUGGCAUGCUGGUGAGAAAAUGCAUGCAUGGGCUUUACUUAGCAACUCGCUCUGCCUCUCCUCUCUGUCAGGGCGCUCCCCUAAAAUCUCUCCUCUUGACGUCUUUUUUCUGGCAUAAGGACCCGGAGCUUUGAGGAGCGCAGCAGCCCAGAAGCUCCUAAGGAGAGAAGCUGUUUUGGUGAGAUUGGUUCCACCAGGCUACAUGCCUUGACUGGGACAGAAAUGGGCUGGGAAGGCCGAAAUUUGACUUCUGCACCUGGAUUUGGGCUAAAAAGUCUCACAGCUCAGCCUCCUUGAUAAGGGUUCUUCUAUCUCCCCUCUAUACUUCCUCUGCAGCAGAAAAGAGUAUCUUGGCCGUGCAGGGAACGCUCUUCUCUCACUCUCGCCACUGGGGUUAAGGGCAGCUACAUUACUAUAGCUCCAAGUCUUGGUUGCCCCCAGAGAGAGGCAGAGAUGUAGCCUGCCCACAUCUGGACACUUGAAGACUCUCCAAACACCUAGAGGAGCUGUGGAUUCAAGUGAAGCAACCAUCUGAUGCCACCACGGUCCCUCCUUCCCUUUGCCUUCCCUUCUUCCCACAAAAGAGAAGCCCAAAUCCGCCACCAGACCAGCCCAUCUGCCCGUGGAAACCAAGGGAACCAAAUGCAUCGUACUGGGUUGCAGGCCUUAAUCUAGCUCUCGCUGAAUUAUUCAGGGAUGGCAUUAACUUAUAAAUGAGUGUGUUUGACUG
Molecule: long non-coding RNA, 1767 nt
Organism: Homo sapiens (human)
Lineage: Eukaryota; Metazoa; Chordata; Mammalia; Primates; Hominidae
Source: Ensembl